AGAGUUGAUCCUGGCUCAGGACGACGCUGGCGGCGUGCUUAACACAUGCAAGUCGAACGGAGCACCCUUGAAGGAGUUUUCGGACAACGGAUAGGAAUGCUUAGUGGCGGACUGGUGAGUAACGCGUGAGGAACCUGCCUUCCAGAGGGGGACAACAGUUGGAAACGACUGCUAAUACCGCAUGACGCAUUGGUGUCGCAUGGCACUGAUGUCAAAGAUUUAUCGCUGGAAGAUGGCCUCGCGUCUGAUUAGCUAGUUGGUGAGGUAACGGCCCACCAAGGCGACGAUCAGUAGCCGGACUGAGAGGUUGGCCGGCCACAUUGGGACUGAGAUACGGCCCAGACUCCUACGGGAGGCAGCAGUGGGGAAUAUUGGGCAAUGGACGCAAGCCUGACCCAGCAACGCCGCGUGAAGGAAGAAGGCUUUCGGGUUGUAAACUUCUUUUAAGGGGGAAGAGCAGAAGACGGUACCCCUUGAAUAAGCCACGGCUAACUACGUG
Molecule: ribosomal RNA, 499 nt
Filed under: uncultured Oscillibacter sp.
Lineage: Bacteria; Bacillati; Bacillota; Clostridia; Eubacteriales; Oscillospiraceae
Description: bacterial SSU rRNA
Rfam family: Bacterial small subunit ribosomal RNA
Source: RNAcentral